Molecule: ribosomal RNA, 456 nt
Filed under: uncultured Sphingobacteriales bacterium
Lineage: Bacteria; Pseudomonadati; Bacteroidota; Sphingobacteriia; Sphingobacteriales
Description: bacterial SSU rRNA
Rfam family: Bacterial small subunit ribosomal RNA
Source: RNAcentral
ACAAGCGGUGGAGCAUGUGGUUUAAUUCGAUGAUACGCGAGGAACCUUACCUGGGCUCAAAUGUAUGUUGACGUAUUCUGAAAGGGAUACUUCUUCGGACAAUAUACAAGGUGCUGCAUGGUUGUCGUCAGCUCGUGCCGUGAGGUGUCGGGUUAAGUCCCAUAACGAGCGCAACCCCUAUCAUUAGUUGCCAUCAGGUCAAGCUGGGGACUCUAAUGAAACUGCCUACGCAAGUAGUGAGGAAGGUGGGGAUGACGUCAAAUCAGCACGGCCCUUACGUCCAGGGCUACACACGUACUACAAUGGCCGAUACAAAGGGCAGCGACACUGCGAGGUGAAGCCAAUCCCGUAAAAUCGGUCUCAGUCCGGAUUGGAGUCUGCAACUCGACUCCAUGAAGUUGGAAUCGCUAGUAAUCGCGCAUCAGCCAUGGCGCGGUGAAUACGUUCCCGGGCCUU